GAUGAACGCUGGCGGCGUGCUUAACACAUGCAAGUCGAACGGUGAAGCGCCUUCCUUUUUGGUGGGUGUGGAUGAGUGGCGAACGGGUGAGUAACACGUGAGUAACCUGCCCCCUUCUUCUGGAUAACCGCAUGAAAGUGUGGCUAAUACGGGAUAUUCUGGGUCUGUCGCAUGAUGGGUCUGGGAAAGAUAUUGUUUCGGUGGGGGAUGGGCUCGCGGCCUAUCAGCUUGUUGGUGGGGUGAUGGCCUACCAAGGCGGUGACGGGUAGCCGGCCUGAGAGGGUGGACGGUCACACUGGGACUGAGACACGGCCCAGACUCCUACGGGAGGCAGCGGUGGGGAAUAUUGCACAAUGGGCGCAAGCCUGAUGCAGCGACGCCGCGUGAGGGAUGGAGGCCUUCGGGUUGUGAACCUCUUUCGCCAGUGAAGCAGGCCUGCCUCGUUUGUGGGUGGGUUGACGGUAGCUGGAUAAGAAGCGCCGGCUAACUACGUG
This 494-nucleotide ribosomal RNA is filed under the name uncultured bacterium. Its description in RNAcentral is "partial 16S ribosomal RNA". It matches the Rfam family "Bacterial small subunit ribosomal RNA", at positions 28 to 507 of the family's 1533-position model. The record is from RNAcentral.